UUACUUUGGCAGAAAAAUAUGCGUUAGAUUUAGAAUCUAAUUAUAUAGGAGUAUCUAUAAGUAAAGA
Molecule: transfer RNA, 67 nt
Filed under: Cherax dispar
Lineage: Eukaryota; Metazoa; Arthropoda; Malacostraca; Decapoda; Parastacidae
Description: tRNA-Leu
Source: RNAcentral